AUACGGAGGAUCCGAGCGUUAUCCGGAUUUAUUGGGUUUAAAGGGUGCGCAGGCGGCCAUUUAAGUCAGCGGUUAAAUCGUGGGGCUCAACCCCAUUCUGCCGUUGAUACUGGGUGGCUUGAUUGCGGUCGAGGUUGGCGGAAUUCGUUGUGUAGCGGUGAAAUGCAUAGAUAUGACGAAGAACACCGAUUGCGUAGGCAGCUGACCAGACCGCAAAUGACGCUCAUGCACGAAAGUGCGGGGAUCGAACAGGAUUAGAUACCCUGGUAGUCCGCACAGUAAACGAUGAAUACUUGUUUUCGGCGAUAUAAUGUCGGAGGCAAAGCGAAAGCGAUAAGUAUUCACCUGGGGAGUACGCCGGCAACGGUGAAACUCAAAUGAAUUGGCGGGG
RNAcentral lists this ribosomal RNA (391 nucleotides) under uncultured bacterium. Its description in RNAcentral is "partial 16S ribosomal RNA". It matches the Rfam family "Bacterial small subunit ribosomal RNA", at positions 523 to 918 of the family's 1533-position model. The record is from RNAcentral.